UAUAGCAAGAAAUCAAGUGCAGAUCUCUUUGAGGUAUUUUUAGGAAAUGGGAAUAAAAUUUAGUUUUACAGUAAGGCAAUGCAAGACAUCUAAGCAAACAGAAAACAAAGCUAAAACACCAAGAUAAAUUCAAUUUGUUGACAAUGACAUGGGUAUCUUUUGAUGUUAGCACAAUUGGGGGCGAAAGGGGCAAUUUGUUUUUCUUUCCAAGAAAUGAAAUUAUUCCAUGCCAAAAUAUUGACUUUCAAAUGUUCUAAAACGAACGAUUUAUUUAUUGAGCAUUGCAGUCUUUCAUAUUCCGACAAUGAAAAUGGAGACUGAAUUAAGGUUUCGGAAAUGUGCUCCAUGUUUCAAGUCAACACACAGCUUAGCAACCAGAGAAGGGGGGGUCCAUGACAUGUUUCCAUCUCAGCUAGACCCCCCCCCCCAUACUUGACACUGUCUGUGACCAACAUCAUUGAUUAUUUGUAAGGAACUCAUUUAACAGACCUUCAUGUCAAUACAGUUGACUGUUAUGACAAUAAGCUCAGUGAUGUGUUCAAGUCCUAGCACAGGUUUGAAAGAGAACAUUUGAAGCUUAAUAUAUAUAAUCCUCUCAAUUUUGACAAGAUCACCAGGAGUUCAAUCUCCAGGCAAUGCCUUUAGCAAAAUACAAUAAAACAGUUGAGAAGAAUGAAGAUUUGAGAUGA
Molecule: long non-coding RNA, 689 nt
Organism: Octopus sinensis (East Asian common octopus)
Lineage: Eukaryota; Metazoa; Mollusca; Cephalopoda; Octopoda; Octopodidae
Exons: 2
Source: RefSeq, a predicted model, not a curated record